RNAcentral lists this ribosomal RNA (484 nucleotides) under uncultured bacterium. RNAcentral's name for it is "partial 16S ribosomal RNA". It matches the Rfam family "Bacterial small subunit ribosomal RNA", at positions 28 to 523 of the family's 1533-position model. The record is from RNAcentral.
GACGAACGCUGGCGGCGUGCUUAACACAUGCAAGUCGAACGAUGAAGCCGGAGCUUGCUCUGGUGAAUUAGUGGCGAACGGGUGGGUAACACGUGAGUAACCUGCCCUUGACUCUGGGAUAACUGCGGGAAACUGUAGCUAAUACCGGAUACGACCCUCGGAGGCAUCUCCUGGGGGUGGAAAGAAUUUCGGUCAAGGAUGGACUCGCGGCCUAUCAGCUAGUUGGUGAGGUAAAGGCUGACCAAGGCGACGACGGGUAGCCGGCCUGAGAGGGUGACCGGCCACACUGGGACUGAGACACGGCCCAGACUCCUACGGGAGGCAGCAGUGGGGAAUAUUGCACAAUGGGCGCAAGCCUGAUGCAGCAACGCCGCGUAAGGGAUGACGGCCUUCGGGUUGUAAACCUCUUUUAGCAGGGAAGAAGCGAAAGUGACGGUACCUGCAGAAAAAGCACCGGCUAACUACGUGCCAGCCGCCGCGGUAA